Molecule: non-coding RNA, 471 nt
Filed under: Drosophila virilis
Lineage: Eukaryota; Metazoa; Arthropoda; Insecta; Diptera; Drosophilidae
Description: Eukaryotic large subunit ribosomal RNA
Rfam family: Eukaryotic large subunit ribosomal RNA
Source: Rfam by way of RNAcentral
UAGGAACCGUGAGAUUAAGCCAUCGCGGCAGGUGCUCACGUUAAGCCCACUGACUUUCAUGUCCCUAUCUACUAUCUAGCGAAACCACAGCCAAGGGAACGGGCUUGGAAUAAUUAGCGGGGAAAGAAGACCCUUUUGAGCUUGACUCUAAUCUGGCAGUGUAAGGAGACAUAAGAGGUGUAGAAUAAGUGGGAGAUAUUAGACUUCGGUUUGGUAUCGACAAUGAAAUACCACUACUCUUAUUGUUUCCUUACUUACUUGAUUAAAUGGAACGUGUAUCAUUUCCUAGCCAUUAUACGGAUAUAAUUAUUAUGUCUUAUGGUAUUGGGUUCUGAUGCAAGCUUCUUGAUCAAAGUAUCACGAUUUUGUUAUAUAAUCGCAAACAAAUUCUUUAAUGAGAGAAUGCAUUUAUGUAUUAUUGAUUUAAAAAUUUGGUAUAACUCCAAUUACUCAGGUAUGAUCCAAUUCAAG